Long non-coding RNA from Patiria miniata (bat star), 416 nucleotides. RefSeq lists it as uncharacterized. The record is from RefSeq and is a predicted model, not a curated record. NCBI's taxonomy places the organism in Eukaryota, Metazoa, Echinodermata, Asteroidea, Valvatida, Asterinidae. The transcript has 2 exons.
ACAUUAAGUAGCCUCCUUCCCACCACCAGAGUGACCUUGUGCACUUCCUAUGUGCAUACAGAGACCUUGUGUGGGUACAAGUACCACAUAAUCUUGCCACAUAAACAAUAGGCAGCCAUAUUUACUGACCAUGUGAUUUCAGAGACAAGUGUUUUCAUACUCAUAGCAAUUUAGUUCUUCAAGUUUCAUCACUUUAUUCACUCUUUGUGGACCAUGAAAGACCCCAUUUUGAUUGUUAUCUCAAUCUACUCAAUCUACUAUCAGCAAUCACCACCAUGUUGUCAAGUGGCUUCAUUGUGUUUUGUGUGUGGUUCCUGGAUUGAUUGUGAAUACCAGUCACUUGGGAGUCCUUUUCUCAUAAGUUUGAGAACUAGUAGUCCGAAACUCCUCUGGGCACAAGUGAGCCCCGAGGCAGC